AGUGAACGCUGGCGGUAGGCCUAACACAUGCAAGUCGAACGGCAGCACAGUAAGAGCUUGCUCUUACGGGUGGCGAGUGGCGGACGGGUGAGGAAUACAUCGGAAUCUACUUUUUCGUGGGGGAUAACGUAGGGAAACUUACGCUAAUACAGCAUACGACCUACGGGUGAAAGCAGGGGAUCUUCGGACCUUGCGCGAUUGAAUGAGCCGAUGUCGGAUUAGCUAGUUGGCGGGGUAAAGGCCCACCAAGGCGACGAUCCGUAGCUGGUCUGAGAGGAUGAUCAGCCACACUGGAACUGGAACACGGUCCAGACUCCUACGGGAGGCAGCAGUGGGGAAUAUUGGACAAUGGGCGCAAGCCUGAUCCAGCCAUACCGCGUGGGUGAAGAAGGCCUUCGGGUUGUAAAGCCCUUUUGUUGGGAAAGAAAAGCAGCAGGUUAAUACCCCGCUGUUCUGACGGUACCCAAAGAAUAAGCACCGGCUAACUUCGUG
RNAcentral lists this ribosomal RNA (492 nucleotides) under uncultured bacterium. RNAcentral's name for it is "partial 16S ribosomal RNA". It matches the Rfam family "Bacterial small subunit ribosomal RNA", at positions 29 to 507 of the family's 1533-position model. The record is from RNAcentral.